AUAUUCAUAAGCGGAGGAACAGAAACAGACUUGGACUCUGGUAGUAGUGGCGAACGAAGUGAGAUAUGUAUCAAUAUGAUAAUAUCGAAUUUUUAUGUCUGACGUUGUACUCACUCGAAGUACCCCGGUAUUUUUAUGGGAGCAAGUUAUAUGGAACUCGAGCCAUAGAAGGUGAUAGUCCUGUAUCUUUCAUUAACUUACAUAAGGGAACUUUUUAGUGAGUCGUGCUUCUUGCGAUUGAAGUGCAAAAAGGUGGUACGGUUCAUCUACUACUAAGUAUGCGAUGGGAGACCGAUAGCGAAGAAGUACCUUGAGGGAAAGAUGAAAAGUACUUUAGAUGGAGGGUUAACAGACAUGAAACCGUUGCUAGAGAAGCGCAGGAGAAUUUACAUUUCAUUUACUGAGGUGUAGCUAUAUGUAUCUUAUGAAUGUGAAGUAGUCGGGUGCCCUUAUGUAGGGUACUCAGGUCACUAUGACUCCCACUACUAUGAAUUCUUCUGCGUCCCGUCUAGAAACACGG
This 520-nucleotide ribosomal RNA is filed under the name uncultured fungus. RNAcentral's name for it is "eukaryotic LSU rRNA". It matches the Rfam family "Eukaryotic large subunit ribosomal RNA", at positions 40 to 664 of the family's 3401-position model. The record is from RNAcentral. Lineage: Eukaryota; Fungi.